CCUUCUCCACGUGCUUAAUGGCCACCUGGAAGAAGACCCCCGAGUCUCCAUCAGACCCUCCUGCUCAAAGCAUCCCUCCGCGCGCCCUCCCCGAGGCGGCGUUGCCCACUCACCGGCAAGUUGUCGGCGACGCGGAUGCCAGAGUAGACCGAGCCGAAGCCACCGCUGCCCAACAGCGGGCCCACCUGGUACUGCGACUCCAGGGGCUCCUUCUCUUUGCCUAGGAAAGAGGCACGGGACACUCAGCGCGCUCGACCCACGCGGGGGUCUCCCGGCGUCCCAACGACCCGCGCGCCCAGGGUGGGGUGGGGACACUCACCCGGCGCCAGCUUGGUGGCGUGCAGGUCGUUGCAGGGCGCGGCGCGCAGGCAUUUGUAAAAUGUUGAUGGCCAAGCAUGAUACCUCAUGCCUGAGACGCCAGCUCUCAGGAGGCCCCCGGCAAGUUCAAGGCCAGCUUGCUCUACAUGAUCCAAAGAAGCGUCUUUCUCUGAUUCCUUUUAUCUGGAAGAACUGAGAGGAGACGGGCGAACGGUUGUGAGAAUCUCUUUAAGGGGCAGUCCUGGAAUGAGUGAAGUGCACCGCUGACUCCUGGCCGCCUGUCUCUCCUAUGGCCUGGCAUCUUCACAGAUGCAGAUUUUGAAAAUGCAUUUCUCCUUUAUCUGAGAGCCCCUCCUGCCCCCUCCUCCAGGACCGACACACUAUGCGUGGAACCUGUGAUGCUAGGCCAUCCUUCCUAUGGUUUGACAUAUUGUCUCACCAGUAAAGGGUAGAGCUGGAACCCACCAUGAAAUCCUGGCCCAGCAAAAUACGUGCCCUAGAGAAGAAGGACCACAAACUCAAGGUCACCUGGGGCUACAUACUUAAGAUCCAGUCUCAAAACUCCAAAUCAAACAAAAAUUGCGCUAAUAAUAAAUUGUAGGAAGUAAGAAGAUGACACCAGGUAGCAGGUCUCAGGCAGCCUCUUUCUGGCUUUAGACUCAUGAUGGCUUAGAGUAGUUUUGAACUCCCAGUAUCAUCUUCUAAAUGUGCAUCUCGACAAAAAAAAAAGGAAUGACUUCGCCGGGCGUGGUGGCGCACACCUUUAAUCCCAGCACUCGGGAGGCAGAGGCAGGCGGAUUUCUGAAUUCGAGGCUAGCCUGGUCUACAAAGUGAGCUCCAGGACAGCCAGGGCUAUACAGAGAAACCCUGUCUCGAGAAAAAAAAAAAAAAAAAAGGAAUGAUUUCUCUGAGAUAGGGCCACAUGUAGCCCAGGCAACCCUCAAACUGUGAAGUCACAGAUUAUCUGAUCCUCCUGCCUCCACCUCCCAGUGUAAUUAAAAGUACAGCUAGCCUGGUGGCACGCCAUGCCUGACAUAGAGAGAGCAUGCAUCCAACUAAGGGCUUCAUUCUUACUAAGGCAAGCAUUCUGCCUACUGAGCUACAUACAUCCCCGGUGCAGAGAGGAAUAUUUAUUAAGCCUUCAUCCCUUCCAUAAUUGGACAAUGUAUUGUCUUGAUGUUCUGAUGGGCAGGAAGUUAUUUAGGCAGUAUAUAAACUGUCAUACUACACAGGGCAAAAAUAUUGCUUGUUUUCAAAAAAACAUUAGAAUACAGUAAAAUGCACCUGUCAUGGACUAGCCGGCUCUUCCUUUAAUCUUUUUUCCCCCCUCUCCUGUUUCAAAAAGAUGUUCAGGGUUCUCAGCAUAUCAGGGUCAUCAUUUUCAAACAUCCAUUAGUGCCAUCCCCCAGUCGAGGGAGAGAUGUAGUUAAUAAACAUUUCUGCUUGAUAGAGUCUAGCGAUCUAUUAGAACUGCCACCAAGCAGUCAGAGCACACAGUCCCGUUACCAGCCACAGAUCACAUGGCUACACACGUUUCUCCCCACCCCCCGCCCCCCAUUCUCUUUCUUUCCUAACCCUGCCACUUCUAAUAGCUUUACAUGUAUAUUAUAUACACCUUUUUUUUUUUUUUUUUGGUUUUUUCAAGACAGGGUUUCUCUGUGUAGCCUGGCUGUCCUGGAACUCACUCUGUAGACCAGACUGGCCUCGAAUUCAGAAAUCCACCUGCCUCUGCCUCCCAAGUGCUGGGAUUAAAGGCGUGUGCCACCACGCCCAGCUAUAUACAUCUUUUUUAAAUUUAUCAUGUAUAUGUCUGUGAGGAUGUGCAUGGGGUGGGGGUGGGGGGGCUACUCUAGGAGACCAGAGGCACUUGAUCCCUUGGGAUGUUGCCUGAUGUGUGUUCUGGGAACCGAACUCUGGUCUUCUGUAAUAAUAGCAAAGAUCACUAUCAACCUCUGAGCCAUCUCAUGCGGUUUACAUGGAUGUAUUUGAUAUAUACCUAAUAAUGGUAUUUCCUUUGUG
Molecule: long non-coding RNA, 2337 nt
Filed under: Mus musculus (house mouse)
Lineage: Eukaryota; Metazoa; Chordata; Mammalia; Rodentia; Muridae
Description: predicted gene, 26885 (Gm26885)
Source: RNAcentral